AAUAGAUACCCUGGUAGUCCACGCCGUAAACGAUGUCGACUUGGAGGUUGUUCCCUUGAGGAGUGGCUUCCGGAGCUAACGCGUUAAGUCGACCGCCUGGGGAGUACGGCCGCAAGGUUAAAACUCAAAUGAAUUGACGGGGGCCCGCACAAGCGGUGGAGCAUGUGGUUUAAUUCGAUGCAACGCGAAGAACCUUACCUACUCUUGACAUCCAGAGAACUUAGCAGAGAUGCUUUGGUGCCUUCGGGAACUCUGAGACAGGUGCUGCAUGGCUGUCGUCAGCUCGUGUUGUGAAAUGUUGGGUUAAGUCCCGCAACGAGCGCAACCCUUAUCCUUUGUUGCCAGCGGUUAGGCCGGGAACUCAAAGGAGACUGCCAGUGAUAAACUGGAGGAAGGUGGGGAUGACGUCAAGUCAUCAUGGCCCUUACGAGUAGGGCUACACACGUGCUACAAUGGCGCAUACAAAAGAGAAGCGACCUCGCGAGAGCAAGCGGACCUCAUAAAGUGCGUCGUAGUCCGGA
RNAcentral lists this ribosomal RNA (521 nucleotides) under uncultured bacterium. RNAcentral's name for it is "bacterial SSU rRNA". It matches the Rfam family "Bacterial small subunit ribosomal RNA", at positions 777 to 1297 of the family's 1533-position model. The record is from RNAcentral.